This 446-nucleotide ribosomal RNA is filed under the name Neocalanus cristatus. Its description in RNAcentral is "SSU rRNA". It matches the Rfam family "Eukaryotic small subunit ribosomal RNA", at positions 1343 to 1813 of the family's 1831-position model. Lineage: Eukaryota; Metazoa; Arthropoda; Copepoda; Calanoida; Calanidae. The record is from RNAcentral.
CUGUCCUGCUAAAUAGUGUCCGCUUCUCUUUUGAGCGGACAAUUCUUCUUAGAGGGACUGGCGACUCUUAGUCGCACGAGAUUGAGCAAUAACAGGUCUGUGAUGCCCUUAGAUGUUCUGGGCCGCACACGCGCUACACUGAAUAGAUCAGCGUGUUCUCCCUUUCCGAGAGGAACGGGUAAACCGCUGAACCCUAUUCGUGGUAGGGAUCGGGGCUUGCAAUUAUUCCCCGUGAACCAGGAAUUCCCAGUAGGCGCAAGUCAUAAGCUUGCGUCGAUUACGUCCCUGCCCUUUGUACACACCGCCCGUCGCUACUACCGAUUGAACGUUUUAGUGAGGUCCUCGGACUGUUUGCCUGGCGGAUUACUCUGCCUGGCUGGCGGGAAGACGACCAAACUGUAGCGUUUAGAGGAAGUAAAAGUCGUAACAAGGUAUCCGUAGGUGAA